This 439-nucleotide ribosomal RNA is filed under the name uncultured bacterium. Its description in RNAcentral is "partial 16S ribosomal RNA". It matches the Rfam family "Bacterial small subunit ribosomal RNA", at positions 338 to 795 of the family's 1533-position model. The record is from RNAcentral.
CCUACGGGGGGCAGCAGUGGGGAAUAUUGCACAAUGGACGAAAGCCUGAUGCAGCAACGCCGCGUGAGCGAUGAAGGCCUUCGGGUCGUAAAGCUCUGUCCUCAAGGAAGAUAAUGACGGUACGUGAGGAGGAAGCCCCGGCUAACUACGUGCCAGCAGCCGCGGUAAUACGUAGGGGGCUAGCGUUAUCCGGAAUGACUGGGCGAAAAGGGUGCGUAGUUGGUUUCUUAAGUCAGUGGUGAAAGGCUACGGCUCAACCGUAGGAAGCCUUUGAAACUGGGGAACUUGAGUGCAGGAGAGGAGAGUGGAAUUCCUAGUGUAGCGGUGAAAUGCGUAGAUAUUAGGAGGAACACCAGUGGCGAAGGCGGCUCUCUGGACUGCAACUGACGUUGAGGCCCGAAAGCGUGGGGAGCAAACAGGAUUAGAUACCCCAGUAGUC